UACGGAGGGUGCAAGCGUUAUCCGGAUUCACUGGGUUUAAAGGGUGUGUAGGCGGAUUUUUAAGUCAGUGGUGAAAUCUCCGGGCUCAACCCGGAAACUGCCAUUGAUACUAUUAGUCUUGAAUUCUGUUGAGGUGGGCGGAAUACAGUCAUGUAGCGGUGAAAUGCUUAGAUAUGAUGUAGAACACCGAUUGCGAAGGCAGCUCCACUAAGCAGACAUUGACGCUGAGGCACGAAAGCGUGGGGAUCAAACAGG
This 255-nucleotide ribosomal RNA is filed under the name uncultured bacterium. RNAcentral describes it as "partial 16S ribosomal RNA". It matches the Rfam family "Bacterial small subunit ribosomal RNA", at positions 524 to 776 of the family's 1533-position model. The record is from RNAcentral.